Molecule: ribosomal RNA, 16 nt
Filed under: Lodderomyces orthopsilosis
Lineage: Eukaryota; Fungi; Ascomycota; Pichiomycetes; Serinales; Debaryomycetaceae
Description: Candida orthopsilosis partial 28S ribosomal RNA
Source: RNAcentral
UUCGACCUCAAAUCAG